Long non-coding RNA from Papaver somniferum (opium poppy), 1998 nucleotides. RefSeq lists it as uncharacterized. The record is from RefSeq and is a predicted model, not a curated record. Lineage: Eukaryota; Viridiplantae; Streptophyta; Magnoliopsida; Ranunculales; Papaveraceae. The transcript has 5 exons.
GACGCCAGCAUUAAUAAAAAGAACAUUCCUAAAAUAGCCUUCAGUUGAAUUGAGGACUAUUUCUUUUUUUUCCUUCUCUUCAAACUUUGGAGGCGUCUUUGUUGUUUCGAUCCACCACCAGACGCUGAGAAUUUACCUCUGCAAAUUCAAACGACGACGAUACUCUUUGUAAUCACAGCAGCAGAUCGAUCUUGAUGAUGUUGUUGAUGAUGAUGAUGCUAUAUGAAAUUGAUUAGAGAAAUCAGGCAUUGAAGUUUAGGUCGAUUUAGAGAAGUUUUUUUGCGAAUAUUAGUGAUUCAAUUCGAUUGACAGGAGAUUUCAUCGAAGUUCUUAGAGGGAAUAUGGGAGUUAAUACUACAGCAGUUGUUCAUUUUUGCAAUUUGAAAUUUUCACAUAUUUUCACAUCAUCAUCCAAAAUUGAUGAGCUAAAGUCGAUUGCUAAAUCUCGGUGGACCUCUCUUCGGAAUUCAGAUUUCUACUUUUGUUAUACGUUCGAUGGAAACAAAGUGUGUCUGAAGUUAGAUUUUCAGCUUCAAUCAAUGAUUUGUUACUGCAUAAUUCAUAAUGUCGACUCUAUUGACUUGUCAAUUGAAUUUGUUGGGGAUAGUUGUUCUUCAUUGGUAGAAUCAGCAGAUUAUGAUGGUGUUGUAGAUGAUGAUUUGGCUGAAGAUACCGCAACUGCUUUUAUUGAAGAUAUAGCACAAGUUUCUCGCCCCAGGAGGUUAAAGGAUUGGGAGAAUGUUAUUGGUGAUGUUGGCCAACGGUUUGUAGGAGGAGUAGAUGUAGUUCGUUCAGCAGUAGAUAAGCAUUGCAUAUUCACUGACUACCCAUAUGCAAUAGUGAAGAGUGCUCCCUACCGAUACACAGUUAAGGAUCAAUUACAGAAAAAUUGAUUUGGUUUGUGCAAAAGCAUAUGAAGCAAGCUCGAAAAGUAAGAAAUGUAAGAAAGGAGCCGUUAAUAUGAAGAAAUUUGGUAAGCGUAACAAGAAAGAAAUUGAAUAUGAUGAAGAAGGUACUAAAUGUUAUGUGUAUUUAAUUAGGCUUUGAAGGAUGAAGAAGGUACUAAAUGUUAGGUGCUCUAUCAGUUGUUACUUCAUUAGAGUGACAUGCUAAAAAGUUGUAUUUUUUUUUUCUUCCGUAGAACCAUAUGAAACAAGCCUGGAAAAUAAGAAGUCUAAGAAAAGUUCUGGCAAAAAAAAAAAAGAGAAGUUGAUUUGGUCAAAAAAAAUACUCUUUACAUUGUCGCUUCACAUGAUGCUUACAUUAGAUUUUAGGAAGAAUUGUUGAAGACGGCACUUUGAGAGAUGGAAAAAGUAUAACAUCAUUGGAGAAAGUUACAAGCAAGUGAGCCAAGACAAUACAAAAGUUUCAAGAGGUUUGUGCUCAAAAUAACCAUCUUCUGUUGCCUUCAUUUUAGAAGGGACUCUAAUGCCAGUAUGGAAUAAAGGAGCUUCCCUCGUGUACCAGCAUAUUUUGUGGUAGUUGGAGAUGCAAUAUUUAGGUGACUUGUUUCUGAAACAAUGAUAUCUUUUCAUUGGGCAUAGGAUUUUUCAUGUUUUAUUUUUAACAAAUUGUAUCUGGUUUGAAUGUAAAACUUUUUUUUUUUCUCUUUUAAUUAAUAAUUAAAAUUGUAACAUAGUAGGCAAGCGAGCAAGCCCUUUUUAUAAAAACAAUUUAUCUGGUUUGAAUUAAGUUAAAAAAAAUUUUUUGGUUAGUUCAAUAGUACAGCUCUACUUUUGGUAUAUCUAACUAGGCAACCUGUUGGAGAAACCUAAUUUCGUCAGCACAUUUGGCUUGCUAGUCGAGCUGCAGGCAUACUUAAUAUUACAAAUUCAUGAUUCAAAGUAGUAAAAAACUCUCAUUAUCUAUUACAGUUAUUCAAAAAAAAAAUGACACUUUAUACAAGUAGAUGAUAAGUGUUCGAGCAUUAAAUUUACUAUAUCAUAAUAGUCGGAGGGGACAUUCGCCCUUCAGCGAAACAAUCUACACACAUCUACA